RNAcentral lists this ribosomal RNA (166 nucleotides) under Escherichia coli 1-110-08_S1_C3. RNAcentral's name for it is "partial 16S ribosomal RNA". It matches the Rfam family "Bacterial small subunit ribosomal RNA", at positions 1362 to 1527 of the family's 1533-position model. Lineage: Bacteria; Pseudomonadati; Pseudomonadota; Gammaproteobacteria; Enterobacterales; Enterobacteriaceae. The record is from RNAcentral.
GUGAAUACGUUCCCGGGCCUUGUACACACCGCCCGUCACACCAUGGGAGUGGGUUGCAAAAGAAGUAGGUAGCUUAACCUUCGGGAGGGCGCUUACCACUUUGUGAUUCAUGACUGGGGUGAAGUCGUAACAAGGUAACCGUAGGGGAACCUGCGGUUGGAUCACC